RNAcentral lists this ribosomal RNA (497 nucleotides) under uncultured bacterium. Its description in RNAcentral is "partial 16S ribosomal RNA". It matches the Rfam family "Bacterial small subunit ribosomal RNA", at positions 28 to 507 of the family's 1533-position model. The record is from RNAcentral.
GAUGAACGCUGGCGGCGUGCUUAAUACAUGCAAGUCGAGCGAACAGACGAGGACCUUGCUCCUCUGACGUCAGCGGCGGACGGGUGAGUAACACGUGGAUCCCCUCCCUAUAAGACUGGGACAACUUCGGGAAACCGGUGCUAAUACUGGAUAAUAUAUUCAACCGCAUGGUUCAAUAGUGAAAGACGGUUUUGCUGUCACUUAUCGAUGGAUCCGCGCCGCAUUAGCUAGUUGGCAAGGUAACGGCUUACCAAGGCGACGAUGCGUAGCCGACCUGAGAGAGUGAUCGGCCACACUGGAGCUGAGACACGGUCCAGACUCCUACGGGAGGCAGCAGUAGGGAAUCUUCCGCAAUGGGCGAAAGCCUGACGGAGCAACGCCGCGUGAGUGAUGAAGGUCUUCGGAUCGUAAAACUCUGUUAUUAGGGAAGAACAAAUGUGUAAGUAGCUAUGCACGUCUUGACGGUACCUGAUCAGAAAGCCACGGCUAACUACGUG